RNAcentral lists this ribosomal RNA (561 nucleotides) under uncultured bacterium. RNAcentral describes it as "partial 16S ribosomal RNA". It matches the Rfam family "Bacterial small subunit ribosomal RNA", at positions 355 to 937 of the family's 1533-position model. The record is from RNAcentral.
UGGGGAAUAUUGCACAAUGGGCGAAAGCCUGAUGCAGCAACGCCGCGUGAGUGAUGAAGGCCUUCGGGUUGUAAAGCUCUGUCUUUUGGGACGAUAAUGACGGUACCAAAGGAGGAAGCCACGGCUAACUACGUGCCAGCAGCCGCGGUAAUACGUAGGUGGCAAGCGUUGUCCGGAUUUACUGGGCGUAAAGGAUGCGUAGGCGGAUUUUUAAGUGAGAUGUGAAAACCCUAAGCUUAACUUGGGGACUGCAUUUCAUACUGGAAAUCUAGAGUGCGGGAGAGGAGAAUGGAAUUCCUAGUGUAGCGGUGAAAUGCGUAGAGAUUAGGAAGAACACCAGUGGCGAAGACGAUUCUCUGGACCGUAACUGACGCUGAGGCAUGAAAGCGUGGGUAGCAAACAGGAUUAGAUACCCUGGUAGUCCACGCCGUAAACGAUGAGUACUAGGUGUAGGAGGUAUCGACCCCUUCUGUGCCGCAGUUAACACAAUAAGUACUCCGCCUGGGAAGUACGAUCGCAAGAUUAAAGCUUAAAUGAAUUGACGGGGUCAUAGCUGUUUCC